UUAAUUGAAGAGUUUGAUCAUGGCUCAGAUUGAACGCUGGCGGCAGGCUUAACACAUGCAAGUCGAGCGGUAGCACAAGGGAGCUUGCUCCCCGGGUGACGAGCGGCGGACGGGUGAGUAAUGUCUGGGAAACUGCCUGAUGGAGGGGGAUAACUACUGGAAACGGUAGC
Molecule: ribosomal RNA, 170 nt
Filed under: Serratia marcescens
Lineage: Bacteria; Pseudomonadati; Pseudomonadota; Gammaproteobacteria; Enterobacterales; Yersiniaceae
Description: partial 16S ribosomal RNA
Rfam family: Bacterial small subunit ribosomal RNA
Source: RNAcentral